CAGUCGCCACGGUAAUACGUAGGUGGCAAGCGUUGUCCGGAAUUAUUGGGCGUAAAGGGCUCGCAGGCGGUUUCUUAAGUCUGAUGUGAAAGCCCCCGGCUCAACCGGGGAGGGUCAUUGGAAACUGGGAAACCUGAGUGCAGAAGAGGAGAGUGGAAUUCCACGUGUAGCGGUGAAAUGCGUAGAGAUGUGGAGGAACACCAGUGGCGAAGGCGACUCUCUGGUCUGUAACUGACGCUGAGGAGCGAAAGCGUGGGGAGCGAACAGGAUUAGAUACCCCCGUAGUCCCUGUCUCUUAUAC
This 301-nucleotide ribosomal RNA is filed under the name uncultured bacterium. RNAcentral's name for it is "partial 16S ribosomal RNA". It matches the Rfam family "Bacterial small subunit ribosomal RNA", at positions 509 to 807 of the family's 1533-position model. The record is from RNAcentral.